This is a non-coding RNA of Anas platyrhynchos (mallard), 1904 nucleotides long. The record is from RefSeq and is a predicted model, not a curated record. Lineage: Eukaryota; Metazoa; Chordata; Aves; Anseriformes; Anatidae.
ACUCUUCCUGAAGAUAAACUUCUGUCAGCUCUUCCAGCACACCUCUUUCAGAAACCCCCCUUUGGAGACCACAACUCAGUUGGACCGUAUGUAAAGGGCUGCCCUUGACGAGGGAGAGGAAGUAAAUCACACAUUACAUGCAGAUUUCUAGGCCUUUCUUGAUAUACUUUGUGUAUGAAUCAUCAGAGCAUGACAGCUGCCUGACGGUGGCUGGAGACCGGCACCUAUUGAAGCUUGGUUUCCUCCUUCUGAAGUUGCUCAUUUGACAACUGCAGGCAGGAUUUUUUCUAGGCCUGCAAACAAUCAUGCUUUUGUAUGGUGGGGCUACAUUGGAAGAGUCCUUCUGAUGGAAAGUAUCAGGCAAGUUCCAGCUAAGGAUGCUCGUUUUCAUCACUUCUGGGAAAGAACAGUCUGGCUCCCGGCCUAAGGAGGAGUGGAAAAACUGUUCUUCCAGCAAGCACUGCGGCAUCGCGUCCUGAAAUCGUCCCAAACACAAUGAUGCCAGCAGUCAUCACUUCACAGGCUGCCAGCUUUAUAAAGACUCUGUUCCUCUGUCACACACAGAUGACAUUUUGUUGAAGAAUUGAGGUUUUGUUGCAACUUUCAAGUCUUAAUGUUCUAUUUUGUUCACCAUCCCCAGCCUGUCUUGCAAAUAACGUCCUUCACUGCCACGUCAGCAGUUGCUUUCCAGAAAGGCAGCUGUGGAAAAGCGGGAUGUGAGACGUGAAUGCAGCACUCUUCUGACCCAACCUAAGGCUAGAGUGUCUGUGCUGAACACAGAUGCCAUCAGGACUGGCUAGACCUCCCUGCGGCUGUACAGCUGGUAGAAGGUCAAGGAAGGCAGGAGAAGAGCAUCUUUUUGUUCAGAAUUAUCACAUCUCCACAGCCCUGCACUCCUCAGAGAUGCAGCCCUCCCGUACAGCCUAAGCAGCCCAUCUUUGUUGUUAGUUUACAUCAAAUAAAAAAAGAAAAGGACCUCGAGGGGGCUUGUAAUUCCCAUAGGCAUGAAAGGGAAGAAUUACCCUCAUUCAUCGUCAGGACGAGUUACAAAUGCCCAGUUCCUAAUCCGGCAGCAGGGAUGCGUACAGCUGCCUCCUGGCCUCACCGGCACAGCCUGGGAUACGGCUCUGGUAGGAAAGGAGCAAGAGGAAGCACUGGCAGCGUGAGGAGGCUAAUACAAAACAUGGUAUAGGAACACAGAGCUGCUUGGAAUACCGGUGUCAUUAACGCUGGUUUGUUCAAUGAUUAUCACACCCGAGACAAAGAGCUUCUCCCCUGUGGACAACGCAACAUCACCCCCACCAUGUAUCUUUCAGAGGCCUCCUCAAGGAAGUGCAUUUAGGAAGGGUUUUAACCAGGCUGUGCUCACAGUCAGGAAAGAAGUUCCAGGAAUAGCAGGUCUCCACACGGUGUGACAACCACAGCUUCAUUAAGAAGGCCGCUGAGCACCACCCACUUUGGCACCAUGAUACCUUUGGGAGGUGGAGAAGUUCUGGAGUACAUCCGAAAUACGGAGAAGCUGGGGGACUUACCCAAAGACACACCUGAAGUCUGGGCCAAGUCAGAGAUGUAAACAGGUUUUUCUAUGUCACUGGCUAACACUUGGAUGACAGAGGUCUGUAUUCCUUCUUUAAAAAAGGGAAGGAAAGAAACUGGAGCUGGCUACCAGUAACAAUAAACCUGACUUUUAGCAACGUAUUAUGGCCUAGCAAAAUACUGAUUUGGUACCCCUUAAUUUAUUAGCUGAGAAACAGGAUUAAUGGGACCUGUUAGACUACAUAGUCUACUAGCAAAGUGUUAAGACUUGCAUAAGAUAAUGCUCUCCUGUUUUCUUCAGCCUUUUAAUUGAGGCCCAAUAUUUGUCAACCCGAUUUUUUUGAGUUAGAAUUUGUUCCUGUACUUGU